Molecule: ribosomal RNA, 864 nt
Filed under: uncultured bacterium
Lineage: Bacteria
Description: bacterial SSU rRNA
Rfam family: Bacterial small subunit ribosomal RNA
Source: RNAcentral
GGCUCAGGACGAACGCUGGCGGCGUGCUUAAUACAUGCAAGUCGAGCGGAAGUAUCUUGAAAGCUUGCUGAUAGAUACUUUAGCGGCGGACGGGUGAGUAACGCGUGGGCAAUCUGCCCUCUAGCCCGGGAUAACAGAGCGAAAGUUCUGCUAACACCGGAUAUGCUUACAGUGAGACAUCUCGCAGUAAGGAAAGUUCACACUAGAGGAUGAGCCCGCGUCCCAUUAGCUAGUUGGUGAGGUAACGGCCCACCAAGGCGACGAUGGGUAGCCGACCUGAGAGGGUGACCGGCCACACUGGGACUGAGACACGGCCCAGACUCCUACGGGAGGCAGCAGUAGGGAAUUUUCGGCAAUGGGCGAAAGCCUGACCGAGCAACGCCGCGUGAGGGAAGAAGGUCUUCGGAUCGUAAACCUUUGUCUUUGGGGAAGAUGAUGACGGUACCCAAGGAGGAAGCCACGGCUAACUACGUGCCAGCAGCCGCGGUAAUACGUAGGUGGCAAGCGUUGUCCGGAAUUACUGGGCGUAAAGGGCGUGUAGGCGGCCUUUUAAGUCAGGCGUGAAAACUGUGGGCUUAACUCACAGACUGCGUUUGAGACUGAGAGGCUUGAGGAUCGGAGAGGGCAGUGGAAUUCCCAGUGUAGCGGUGAAAUGCGUAGAUAUUGGGAAGAACACCAGUGGCGAAGGCGGCUGCCUGGACGACACCUGACGCUGAGGCGCGAAAGCCAGGGGAGCAAACGGGAUUAGAUACCCCGGUAGUCCUGGCUGUAAACGAUGGGUACUAGGUGUGGGAGGUAUCGACCCCUUCCGUGCCGGAGUUAACACAAUAAGUACCCCGCCUGGGGAGUACGGCCGCAAGGGUG